This 1555-nucleotide small RNA is filed under the name Pongo abelii (Sumatran orangutan). RNAcentral describes it as "retained intron". The stretch from base 1193 to 1329 matches the Rfam family "T-cell leukemia/lymphoma 6 conserved region 3". Lineage: Eukaryota; Metazoa; Chordata; Mammalia; Primates; Hominidae. The record is from RNAcentral.
GUAAUGGUGCUGAGAAUCAUGCCUUGAAAUCUAGCAGCUGUGUUAAAAACGGAGCAAGGUGUACUUCGGGGUUAUGUUGAGAAGGCUGGUGUUCAGCUAAAUCAGGAGGGAAGGCCAAGGAAAAUCAGGCUUGGCACCUGUCAACAGCUUGUUUUCAUUUCCUUUCCAAUUUAAGAAUGUGUUUAACAUUCUAUCCCAGACAAUAUGAUGGUCAUGAAGUCUCUGUCAGAGAGGAAAGAGGGAGUUAAUCUAUAAUGAAGAUCAACAGUGAAGAGGAAAGGGGUCUUCCCUGGAACCCUUCAGUCAUAUACGACAUUUUACACAACAAUAAUGGACCUGUGUAAGGAGAUAUGUGUGGGAGAAGAUUCCAGAAGGUCUUGAGACACUCCAGAUGAAGGUUGGUGUGGGGCUGUGCUGCUGGAGCACCAGAGAGUGAAAAGAGGGUAUCUCCCUCUGUGCUAGGCCAGAGUGCAGUGGUGCAAUCAUGGCUCACUGUAGUCUCAACCUCCUGGGUUCAAGAGAUCCUCCCACUUCAGCCUCCCAAGUAGCUAGGACUACAGUUAUUUUAUUCUUAUGAGCUUGUGGGCUCCAUCUACCCAACCUCUGGGCAAAUGCUCUUCUGACUUCCAUAGACACACAGCAAGCAGACAACCACACAAAGAGGAAGAGGGAGAAUAUUUACCAGCCAUGGAACAUCUGCUGUGUGCUUAUAUCUCAUAUGCAUUAUCUCUAAUUAUCAAAAGAAGGUAUGUCCUUAACCUUGGCACAACAAAUCUCUAAAUCGAUUGAGACCUGUCUCAGAUACUUUUUGGUUUAUAAGAUGGGGGCUGAAAUUAAAGAGAAAGCUCCUCACUCAGCUCACAAAGGAGCAGAAUGGGAAGAGGACUUAGUGAGAAUUCCCUGAACACAGGAGAAAACCGAAGCCCAGAGAGUGGAUGGCCAAGUCCAAGGCCACAUAGCCAAGUGCAUCUGAGCAGCGCAGGAUCCAGGUUUCCUGCCCCAGUGCUGUUUCUGCAGCCCGUGCCACCUGUUUUCAUACUAUCUCGGUUCACCAUCCAGCUACACACCUGCAAUCAGAAACAGAAAGUCUGAGAGUGUGUGUGGAGCCAAAGAGGGGACAGCAGUGGUUAGAAGCAAGGCACAAGUCAUACCUACAUUCAAGGAGAGGAGACCAUGCAAAGGAUAAACUUCAGAGAGACAACAGAUUUACAUCCCAGACACAUUCACACUGGGCAAAGAGCAGCUGCCAUUGCAGAUUUGAGUCACGUCCUUUUUUCCCUCCUUCUCCUUCUUGGAGUUACAGCAGAAGCUGGGGAGGUGAGAGUGCAGGACAUGGAUGAAGCAGAGAGGCAUGUGCCUGUCUCAUUCGCCUCUGGAUCUGCUGCAUCCAGGACCAUGUCAGCACAAAGUGGGAGCCCGAUAAAUAUUUAUUGAAGAAAUGAAAGGUGACAAAAGGCAGAAGGAGGGAGACCCCCAAAAGAGGUAAAUUUGGUAUCUUAGUAAGUGGGUGACUACCACUCUCUGGGGGAAAGCUGAUACACGAGGACUUGACAAU